RNAcentral lists this ribosomal RNA (447 nucleotides) under Triticum aestivum (bread wheat). RNAcentral's name for it is "partial small subunit ribosomal RNA". The record is from RNAcentral. Lineage: Eukaryota; Viridiplantae; Streptophyta; Magnoliopsida; Poales; Poaceae.
AUGCACUGCCCAAAAUCAGAAUUUUCUGGUGGUGGGUACUCAGGGGGUCUCCUUCCUUCUCUGGAAACCCUCACACAUCGCCAUAUCGCGGACAAUGCAACAUGCAAACUCUGUGGUUUUGUCGAACAAAGUCUCUACAAUGUGUUGAUCACAUGUGAUCAUUACAAGCAAUUUUGGGUAGCACUGUUCGAGCGAACAUGACUGAAACCCCCGCACCUAUAUCCUCUGACAUGGGCAGGUGAUGUCAUUUUACCAGACACUAUCAAGAUGGAGGACGCAGUGAUCUUUGUCACAAUCAUGUGGUGCAUCUGGUCUAGCACGAAUAUAUUUACUCAUGGAGAGGAAAAGAUCCAGUCGCUGAGAUCGAUGGAACUAGUUGAUGAACUGGUAGGGGUGCUUGAGCUACCCCUAAGUCAAGUUGCUCCUAAGGAGAACAAUGGCCCGUAG